This 395-nucleotide ribosomal RNA is filed under the name uncultured bacterium. RNAcentral's name for it is "bacterial SSU rRNA". It matches the Rfam family "Bacterial small subunit ribosomal RNA", at positions 29 to 401 of the family's 1533-position model. The record is from RNAcentral.
AGCGAACGCUGGCGGCGUGCUUAACACAUGCAAGUCGAGCGAAGGUGUUUCAAGGGUAACCUUGAGAUACACUUAGCGGCGGACGGGUGAGUAAUACGUGGAUAACUUACCUCUAGGCCUGGGAUAACCCCGGGAAACUGGGGCUAAUACCUGAUAAGACCACAUUGUCUACGGACAAAAGGGGUAAAAGGUGGCUGUGCAAACAGCUAUCGCCAAAAGAUAGGUUCACGUCCCAUCAGGCAGUGGUGAGGUAAUGGCUCACCAAACCAAAGACGGGUAGCCGGCCUUGGCGGGUGAACGGCCACACGGGGACUGAGACACGGCCCCGACUCCUACGGGAGGCAGCAGUGGGGAAUAUUGGGCAAUGGGCGCAAGCCUGACCCAGCGACGUCGCG